RNAcentral lists this ribosomal RNA (234 nucleotides) under uncultured Actinomycetales bacterium. RNAcentral describes it as "partial 16S ribosomal RNA". It matches the Rfam family "Bacterial small subunit ribosomal RNA", at positions 522 to 755 of the family's 1533-position model. Lineage: Bacteria; Bacillati; Actinomycetota; Actinomycetes; Actinomycetales. The record is from RNAcentral.
AAUACGUAGGGUGCAAGCGUUGUCCGGAAUUACUGGGCGUAAAGAGCUCGUAGGUGGUUUGUCACGUCGUCUGUGAAAUUCCACAGCUUAACUGUGGGCGUGCAGGCGAUACGGGCUGACUUGAGUACUGUAGGGGUAACUGGAAGUCCUGGUGUAGCGGUGAAAUGCGCAGAUAUCAGGAGGAACACCGAUGGCGAAGGCAGGUUACUGGGCAGUUACUGACGCUGAGGAGCG